AGGAUGAACGCUGGCGGUCUGCUUAACACAUGCAAGUCGAACGGAGUAGCAAUACUUAGUGGCGGACGGGUGAGUAACGCGUGAGAAUCUACCUUCAGGACGGAGACAACAGUUGGAAACGACUGCUAACCCCCGAUGUACUGAAAAGGCAAAUAUUUAUAGCCUGAAGAAGAGCUCGCGUCCGAUUAGCUAGUUGGAGAGGUAAAAGCUCACCAAGGCGACGAUCGGUAGCUGGUCUGAGAGGACGAUCAGCCACACUGGGACUGAGACACGGCCCAGACUCCUACGGGAGGCAGCAGUGGGAAUUUUCCGCAAUGGGCGAAAGCCUGACGGAGCAAGACCGCGUGGGGGAAGAAGGCUCUUGGGUUGUAAACCCCUUUUCUCUUGGGAAGAACGCAAUGACGGUACCAGAGGAAUCAGCAUCGGCUAACUCCGUGCCAGCAGCCGC
This 448-nucleotide ribosomal RNA is filed under the name uncultured bacterium. RNAcentral describes it as "SSU rRNA". It matches the Rfam family "Bacterial small subunit ribosomal RNA", at positions 26 to 518 of the family's 1533-position model. The record is from RNAcentral.